UACGGAGGGUGCAAGCGUUAUCCGGAUUCACUGGGUUUAAAGAGUGCGUAGGCGGGCAUUUAAGUCAGUGGUGAAAUACCUGAGCUUAACUUGGGAACUGCCAUUGAUACUAUUUGUCUUGAAUGUCGUGGAGGUUAGCGGAAUAUGUCAUGUAGCGGUGAAAUGCUUAGAUAUGACAUAGAACACCUAUUGCGAAGGCAGCUAACUACGCGAAUAUUGACGCUGAGGCACGAAAGCGUGGGGAGCAAACAGG
RNAcentral lists this ribosomal RNA (253 nucleotides) under uncultured bacterium. RNAcentral's name for it is "partial 16S ribosomal RNA". It matches the Rfam family "Bacterial small subunit ribosomal RNA", at positions 524 to 776 of the family's 1533-position model. The record is from RNAcentral.